GACUCCUACGGGAGGCAGCAGUGGGGAAUAUUGCACAAUGGGCGCAAGCCUGAUGCAGCCAUGCCGCGUGUGUGAAGAAGGCCUUCGGGUUGUAAAGCACUUUCAGCAGGGAGGAAGGAGUGUAUAGUUAAUAGCGGUAUCAUUUGACGUUACUCUGCAGAAGAAGCACCGGCUAACUCCGUGCCAGCAGCCGCGGUAAUACGGAGGGUGCGAGCGUUAAUCGGAAUUACUGGGCGUAAAGCGCAUGCAGGUGGUUUGUUUAAGUCAGAUGAGAAAGCCCCGGGGCUCAACCUGGGAAUUGCAUUUGAAACAGGCAAACUAGAGUACUGUAGAGGGGGGUAGAAUUUCAGGUGUAGCGGUGAAAUGCGUAGAGAUCUGAAGGAAUACCGGUGGCGAAGGCGGCCCCCUGGACAGAUACUGACACUCAGAUGCGAAAGCGUGGGGAGCAAACAGGAUUAGAUACCCUGGUAGUCCACGCCGUAAACGAUGUCUACUUGGAGUUUCCCGCCUUGAGCCGUGGCUUUUCGAGCUAACGCGUUAAGUAGACCGCCUGGGGAGUACGGUCGCAAGAUUAAAACUCAAAUGAAUUGACGGGGGCCCGCACAAGCGGUGGAGCAUGUGGAAUAGUUCGAUGCAACGCGAAGAACCUUACCUACUCU
RNAcentral lists this ribosomal RNA (659 nucleotides) under Vibrio fluvialis. RNAcentral's name for it is "bacterial SSU rRNA". It matches the Rfam family "Bacterial small subunit ribosomal RNA", at positions 334 to 981 of the family's 1533-position model. The record is from RNAcentral. Lineage: Bacteria; Pseudomonadati; Pseudomonadota; Gammaproteobacteria; Vibrionales; Vibrionaceae.